GCCCGUGUAGCUCAGCGGUAGAGCGCCGGUGUCACAUACCGGUUACGGAGGUUCGACUCCUCCCAUGGGUA
RNAcentral lists this transfer RNA (71 nucleotides) under Micromonosporaceae bacterium. Its description in RNAcentral is "tRNA-Val". It matches the Rfam family "tRNA". From Rfam's summary of the family: Transfer RNA (tRNA) molecules are approximately 80 nucleotides in length. Their secondary structure includes four short double-helical elements and three loops (D, anti-codon, and T loops). Further hydrogen bonds mediate the characteristic L-shaped molecular structure. tRNAs have two regions of fundamental functional importance: the anti-codon, which is responsible for specific mRNA codon recognition, and the 3' end, to which the tRNAs corresponding amino acid is attached (by aminoacyl-tRNA synthetases). tRNAs cope with the degeneracy of the genetic code in two manners: having more than one tRNA (with a specific anti-codon) for a particular amino acid; and 'wobble' base-pairing, i.e. permitting non-standard base-pairing at the 3rd anti-codon position. Lineage: Bacteria; Bacillati; Actinomycetota; Actinomycetes; Micromonosporales; Micromonosporaceae. The record is from RNAcentral.